Molecule: ribosomal RNA, 1141 nt
Filed under: Escherichia coli
Lineage: Bacteria; Pseudomonadati; Pseudomonadota; Gammaproteobacteria; Enterobacterales; Enterobacteriaceae
Description: partial 23S ribosomal RNA
Rfam family: Bacterial large subunit ribosomal RNA
Source: RNAcentral
GACUAAGCGUACACGGUGGAUGCCCUGGCAGUCAGAGGCGAUGAAGGACGUGCUAAUCUGCGAUAAGCGUCGGUAAGGUGAUAUGAACCGUUAUAACCGGCGAUUUCCGAAUGGGGAAACCCAGUGUGUUUCGACACACUAUCAUUAACUGAAUCCAUAGGUUAAUGAGGCGAACCGGGGGAACUGAAACAUCUAAGUACCCCGAGGAAAAGAAAUCAACCGAGAUUCCCCCAGUAGCGGCGAGCGAACGGGGAGCAGCCCAGAGCCUGAAUCAGUAUGUGUGUUAGUGGAAGCGUCUGGAAAGGCGCGCGAUACAGGGUGACAGCCCCGUACACAAAAAUGCACAUGCUGUGAGCUCGAUGAGUAGGGCGGGACACGUGGUAUCCUGUCUGAAUAUGGGGGGACCAUCCUCCAAGGCUAAAUACUCCUGACUGACCGAUAGUGAACCAGUACCGUGAGGGAAAGGCGAAAAGAACCCCGGCGAGGGGAGUGAAAAAGAACCUGAAACCGUGUACGUACAAGCAGUGGGAGCACGCUUAGGCGUGUGACUGCGUACCUUUUGUAUAAUGGGUCAGCGACUUAUAUUCUGUAGCAAGGUUAACCGAAUAGGGGAGCCGAAGGGAAACCGAGUCUUAACUGGGCGUUAAGUUGCAGGGUAUAGACCCGAAACCCGGUGAUCUAGCCAUGGGCAGGUUGAAGGUUGGGUAACACUAACUGGAGGACCGAACCGACUAAUGUUGAAAAAUUAGCGGAUGACUUGUGGCUGGGGGUGAAAGGCCAAUCAAACCGGGAGAUAGCUGGUUCUCCCCGAAAGCUAUUUAGGUAGCGCCUCGUGAAUUCAUCUCCGGGGGUAGAGCACUGUUUCGGCAAGGGGGUCAUCCCGACUUACCAACCCGAUGCAAACUGCGAAUACCGGAGAAUGUUAUCACGGGAGACACACGGCGGGUGCUAACGUCCGUCGUGAAGAGGGAAACAACCCAGACCGCCAGCUAAGGUCCCAAAGUCAUGGUUAAGUGGGAAACGAUGUGGGAAGGCCCAGACAGCCAGGAUGUUGGCUUAGAAGCAGCCAUCAUUUAAAGAAAGCGUAAUAGCUCACUGGUCGAGUCGGCCUGCGCGGAAGAUGUAACGGGGCUAAACCAUG